AUAGACUGUACAGUAUGCAUGUGACAUUCUAAUGCAAUAUGAGGAGCAGUAAGCAAACGGUACAUUUAAUUUCAGUUCUCAGUUUCAAAUUCUAGAGUAAUAAAAGAAAAUCAGCAACUGCGAUUGUUCAACUUUGGAUUGGAUGACAUCUGCCAUCAAUUCCACGGUUGAUGGUCGGAGUUGUUGUAGCGAAGUUGCACAAUCGCAGUUGACAUUUAUGCUGAUUUUACAAGUAUUUCUCUUGAUUGGGUACUGAGAACUGUAUUUAAAUGUACCAUUUACUUACUGCUUCAAGUCGACAGUAACACCGUAUUUGCGACCGUCAAAUCCCAAUCAAGUUAAUCCAAAUGAGUAAAACCCGGUCGCAUUUUUAGCCUGUCCCAAGUUAGUAACCUGUGACAUUUGUAGGUCUUGUAUGUUUUUUUUUGUUUUUUUGUUUUUUUUGUUAGUUCAUUCUAUGGUUCGGAGUCAAAUGUGGCAUCCAUUUAUGCUGAAAUAGUCGACAUUUUUAUUAAGGGUCCAGUUGGAGCCCGCCUCUAAGGGCGGGAUUUUCUCGCUGUGUUGAAGAUCCAUUGUUGGUAUUAAUCUGUUUCUACUCUUUGGAUGGGUUGUUGUCUCUUCAGUGACACAUUCUACGUUUCCAUUCUCAAUUUUUUGAAAACCUGGAUCGUUAUUUAUUAGUAGAUAUCAAUUUUAUUGUUGAUGCUAUUUAAAGUAUUGAUGUCAUAAACUAGACAGAACUAGUUAUAUCUGUAUAUCUUGGACAUAACUAAUCGUAUAUAAUUGAUGUCAUAAACCAUACUAACCUAGUUACCCCAGCAUCUUCUAUGUUCUAUAAUUCUAGUCUCAAGUACAGUUAUAUUCUAUUGUCUAUAAAUAGAUCAUGAAAUUACUAAUUCUAGUAUCUGUUCAUUGCAUCUGCAGAUCAAACAAAGCAAUGCCAAUAUUAUGUAUGUUCUGUUUAUUGUUAUAAGUAAUUAGGUAGAUGAGUAUACAGAGAAGCCAGUCACUGUCUUGGUGGCCUUUGUCUCAACCCCGCUUUUGUUCAACGUUUCAAAAGAAAAUCAUUUAUAACACAUGUUAAAUGUGUUUUCAUUAUCCCUGAGCAAUUGUAUUUAAAUGUUUUAUUACAUGUAGUUGUCUAUUAAUAAAUUUCUUAACUAAUAUGCAUUCAUAUCUGCGCCAACUGUAGGCCAUAUCAGUACUGAAUGCAAGUCGUAUCUACAUUAAAUGUAGGUCAUAUCAGCAGUCAAUGUAGGUCAGGUUAGCAGAUAAUAUAGGUCAAGUUAGCAUAUAAUGUCACAGUAUGUCAAAUCAUCACUAUACAGUUAGUAUUUAUUUCACAUCAGCACUAAAUCACUAACUGUAGGUCGAAUUCUUUAACCACUAGACUCUGCGUGAUUUACAAUUUUUAUAAACUUAAUAUUUUAUGUAUAUCUGCUGUCUCAUUGACGUGUUCUUUAGAUAUGAAUAAUUCGAUUUGAUUGCCGGGCCUUUAUUUUCGUUGGAAUUUGGGAUUUUCCCUUAUCGGGACUCGAGACUCGGAUCUCGGGAUUUAAUUAUUAUAUUAGCGGAAUUCCUGAAAGAAUGCUUUACUUUUUCGGGAAUUUGGGAUGACACCCUCUCCAAUCGUCCCUCUUCAGUCAAGCUGCAAACUCUAAUAUGCGAUUUCG
RNAcentral lists this long non-coding RNA (1673 nucleotides) under Mytilus galloprovincialis (Mediterranean mussel). Lineage: Eukaryota; Metazoa; Mollusca; Bivalvia; Mytilida; Mytilidae. The record is from RNAcentral.